GUUGACUGCUCCAGAAGUGGCUGAGCUAACCCGCAAGGGAGGCAGGCCCCCAAGGAGUGGUUGGUAACUGGGGUGAAGUCGUAACAAGGUAGCCGUAGGUGAACCUGCAGAAGGAUCA
This 118-nucleotide ribosomal RNA is filed under the name uncultured eukaryote. RNAcentral describes it as "partial small subunit ribosomal RNA". It matches the Rfam family "Bacterial small subunit ribosomal RNA", at positions 1410 to 1525 of the family's 1533-position model. The record is from RNAcentral.